GCUAGUGGCAGCGGGAGCGGCAGCAGCAGCGGCGGUGGCGUUUGCAUUUCUUACAUUUGGCAGGAGGAAGAAACUGGCUAUCCCAUCGCUGGCGGGCAAGCACGUCUUUAUCACAGGAGCUUCCAGCAGCAUUGGGCUCGCCAUUGCCAAGCAGGCCCUCCUCCAAGGGGCAUUUGUUACCAUCUCGGCCAGGAACCAGCUCAAGCUCGACAAGGUGGCUCAAUCUCUUGUGAGUGAAGUGCACUGCAACAGCCCAUCAAAGUUUUGUCAAAAGGUGGCACACCAUCUUCACUUUGGAAAACUAUUGCAACAUCAUUAGUUUGUGGAGUAUUAUAUUGAUGGUCUAUGCCUUCAUUUUUAAUGAGCAUAUAUACUCCACGUAAA
Molecule: long non-coding RNA, 384 nt
Organism: Selaginella moellendorffii
Lineage: Eukaryota; Viridiplantae; Streptophyta; Lycopodiopsida; Selaginellales; Selaginellaceae
Exons: 2
Source: RefSeq, a predicted model, not a curated record